This 406-nucleotide ribosomal RNA is filed under the name uncultured bacterium. Its description in RNAcentral is "partial 16S ribosomal RNA". It matches the Rfam family "Bacterial small subunit ribosomal RNA", at positions 28 to 526 of the family's 1533-position model. The record is from RNAcentral.
GACGAACGCUGGCGGCGUGCUUAACACAUGCAAGUCGAACGAGUGGCGAACGGGUGAGUAAUACGUGAGUAACCUGCCCUCUUUUUGGGAUAAGCCUUGGAAACGGGGUCUAAUACCGGAUAAAGGGGGAUGGGCUCGCGGCCUAUCAGCUUGUUGGUGGGGUGCUGGCCUACCAAGGCGGUGACGGGUAGCCGGCCUGAGAGGGUGACCGGCCACUCUGGGACUGAGACACGGCCCAGAGGACUACGGGAGGCAGCAGUGGGGGAUAUUGCACAAUGGGCGAAAGACUGAUGCAGCGACGCCGCAGGGGGGAUGAGGGCUUUAGGGUUGUAAACCUCUUUCGCUAUAGAACGGGUAGGUGGAGAAGAAGCGCCGGCUAACUACGUGCCAGCAGCCGCGGUAAUUC